Molecule: small nucleolar RNA, 125 nt
Organism: Myotis lucifugus (little brown bat)
Lineage: Eukaryota; Metazoa; Chordata; Mammalia; Chiroptera; Vespertilionidae
Gene: SNORD22
Rfam family: Small nucleolar RNA SNORD22
About the family: U22 is a member of the C/D class of snoRNA which contain the C (UGAUGA) and D (CUGA) box motifs. U22 is encoded within the U22 snoRNA host gene (UHG) in mammals and has also been identified in Xenopus. U22 is thought to as a 2'-O-ribose methylation guide for ribosomal RNA.
Source: Ensembl
UCUCAGUGAGGAAACAUUCGCAUGUCUUAACUCCUGUCCUAGUCCCAGAGCCUGUAGAGGUGAACCCACUGGGGCUGGCUGGGGAGAAGAGGAAAGUUUGUUCCAGAAGGAACUGUCUAAGGCAG